This 801-nucleotide ribosomal RNA is filed under the name uncultured bacterium. RNAcentral describes it as "bacterial SSU rRNA". It matches the Rfam family "Bacterial small subunit ribosomal RNA", at positions 1 to 814 of the family's 1533-position model. The record is from RNAcentral.
GAAUUCGCCCUUAGUUUGAUCCUGGCUCAGGACGAACGCUGGCGGCACGCUUAACACAUGCAAGUCGAACGGAGAACAUUGAGCUUGCUUAAUGUUCUUAGUGGCGGACGGGUGAGUAACACGUGAGUAACCUGCCUCUAAGAGUGGGAUAGCUUCUGGAAACGGAUGGUAAUACCGCAUAACAUCAUGGAUUCGCAUGUUUCUAUGAUCAAAGAUUUAUCGCUUAGAGAUGGACUCGCGUCUGAUUAGCUAGUUGGUAAGGUAACGGCUUACCAAGGCGACGAUCAGUAGCCGGACUGAGAGGUUGAUCGGCCACAUUGGGACUGAGACACGGCCCAGACUCCUACGGGAGGCAGCAGUGGGGAAUAUUGCACAAUGGGGGAAACCCUGAUGCAGCGAUGCCGCGUGGAGGAAGAAGGUUUUCGGAUUGUAAACUCCUGUUGAAGAGGACGAUAAUGACGGUACUCUUUUAGAAAGCUCCGGCUAACUACGUGCCAGCAGCCGCGGUAAUACGUAGGGAGCGAGCGUUGUCAGGAAUUACUGGGUGUAAAGGGAGCGUAGGCGGGAUGGCAAGUCAGAUGUGAAAACUAUGGGCUCAACCCAUAGACUGCAUUUGAAACUGUUGUUCUUGAGUGAGGUAGAGGUAAGCGGAAUUCCUGGUGUAGCGGUGAAAUGCGUAGAGAUCAGGAGGAACAUCGGUGGCGAAGGCGGCUUACUGGGCCUUUACUGACGCUGAGGCUCGAAAGUGUGGGGAGCAAACAGGAUUAGAUACCCUGGUAGUCCACGCCGUAAACGAUGAUU